GACGAACGCUGGCGGCGUGCUUAACACAUGCAAGUCGAACGGAAAGGCCCUGCUUGCAGGGUACUCGAGUGGCGAACGGGUGAGUAACACGUGGGUGAUCUGCCCUGCACUUCGGGAUAAGCCUGGGAAACUGGGUCUAAUACCGGAUAGGAGCCAUUUUUAGUGUGAUGGUUGGAAAGUUUUUUCGGUGUAGGAUGAGCUCGCGGCCUAUCAGCUUGUUGGUGGGGUAAUGGCCUACCAAGGCGGCGACGGGUAGCCGGCCUGAGAGGGUGGACGGCCAGAGAGGUACGAGGUACAGGCCCAGGCGCGGAGAGGGGGCAGGGGGGGAGAUGAGGGAAGGAGGCGCGCAGGCUGGAGCCGGGGUGGCGGGGUGGGGGAGGACGGGCUGCGGGUUGUCAGCUCCUUUCGCUAGGGAAUAAGCUUUUGGUGACGGAACCUCGAUCAGCCGCCCCGGCUAACGACGUUCCAGGAGCCGCGAAAAUGAGGGACAGAAAACGUCUGAAC
Molecule: ribosomal RNA, 504 nt
Filed under: uncultured bacterium
Lineage: Bacteria
Description: partial 16S ribosomal RNA
Rfam family: Bacterial small subunit ribosomal RNA
Source: RNAcentral